Molecule: ribosomal RNA, 254 nt
Filed under: uncultured bacterium
Lineage: Bacteria
Description: partial 16S ribosomal RNA
Rfam family: Bacterial small subunit ribosomal RNA
Source: RNAcentral
UACGAAGGGGGCUAGCGUUGUUCGGAAUCACUGGGCGUAAAGCGCACGUAGGCGGAUUGUUAAGUCGGACGUGAAAUCCCCAGGCUCAACUUGGGAACUGCGUCCGAUACUGGAUGGCUUGAAUUCGGGAGAGGGAUGCAGAAUUCCAGGUGUAGCGGUGAAAUGCGUAGAUAUCUGGAGGAAUACCGGUGGCGAAGGCGGCAUCCUGGACCGAGAUUGACACUGAGUGAGCGAAAGCCAGGGGAGCAAACGGG